Molecule: long non-coding RNA, 7662 nt
Organism: Oncorhynchus keta (chum salmon)
Lineage: Eukaryota; Metazoa; Chordata; Actinopteri; Salmoniformes; Salmonidae
Exons: 36
Source: RefSeq, a predicted model, not a curated record
AGAGAGAGGUAAUAUAGUAAUAGUGUUGCAGAGAGAGGUAGGUAAUAUAGUAAUAGUGUUGCAGAGAGAGAGAGGUAAUAUAGUAAUAGUGUUGCAGAGAGAGAGAGGUAAUAUAGUAAUAGUGUUGCAGAGAGAGAGAGGUAAUAUAGUAAUAGUGUUGCAGAGAGAGAGAGAGGUAAUAUAGUAAUAGUGUUGCAGAGAGAGAGAGGUAAUAUAGUAAUAGUGUUGCAGAGAGAGAGAGGUAAUAUAGUAAUAGUGUUGCAGAGAGAGAGGUAAUAUAGUAAUAGUGUUGCAGAGAGAGAGAGGUAAUAUAGUAAUAGUGUUGCAGAGAGAGAGAGGUAAUAUAGUAAUAGUGUUGCAGAGAGAGAGAGAGGUAAUAUAGUAAUAGUGUUGCAGAGAGAGAGAGAGGUAAUAUAGUAAUAGUGUUGCAGAGAGAGAGAGGUAAUAUAGUAAUAGUGUUGCAGAGAGAGAGAGAGGUAAUAUAUAGUAAUAGUGUUGCAGAGAGAGAGAGAGGUAAUAUAUAGUAAUAGUGUUGCAGAGAGAGAGAGAGGUAAUAUAGUAAUAGUGUUGCAGAGAGAGAGAGAGGUAAUAUAGUAAUAGUGUUGCAGAGAGAGAGAGGUAAUAUAGUAAUAGUGUUGCAGAGAGAGAGAGGUAAUAUAGUAAUAGUGUUGCAGAGAGAGAGAGGUAAUAUAGUAAUAGUGUUGCAGAGAGAGAGAGAGGUAAUAUAGUAAUAGUGUUGCAGAGAGAGAGAGGUAAUAUAGUAAUAGUGUUGCAGAGAGAGAGAGAGGUAAUAUAGUAAUAGUGUUGCAGAGAGAGAGAGGUAAUAUAGUAAUAGUGUUGCAGAGAGAGAGAGAGGUAAUAUAGUAAUAGUGUUGCAGAGAGAGAGAGGUAAUAUAGUAAUAGUGUUGCAGAGAGAGAGAGAGGUAAUAUAGUAAUAGUGUUGCAGAGAGAGAGAGAGGUAAUAUAGUAAUAGUGUUGCAGAGAGAGAGAGAGGUAAUAUAGUAAUAGUGUUGCAGAGAGAGAGAGAGAGGUAAUAUAGUAAUAGUGUUGCAGAGAGAGAGAGAGAGAGAGGUAAUAUAGUAAUAGUGUUGCAGAGAGAGAGAGGUAAUAUAGUAAUAGUGUUGCAGAGAGAGAGAGAGGUAAUAUAGUAAUAGUGUUGCAGAGAGAGAGAGACAGGUAAUAUAGUAAUAGUGUUGCAGAGAGAGAGAGGUAAUAUAGUAAUAGUGUUGCAGAGAGAGAGAGAGGUAAUAUAGUAAUAGUGUUGCAGAGAGAGAGAGGUAAUAUAGUAAUAGUGUUGCAGAGAGAGAGAGGUAAUAUAGUAAUAGUGUUGCAGAGAGAGAGGUAAUAUAGUAAUAGUGUUGCAGAGAGAGAGAGGUAAUAUAGUAAUAGUGUUGCAGAGAGAGAGAGGUAAUAUAGUAAUAGUAUUGCAGAGAGAGAGAGGUAAUAUAGUAAUAGUGUUGCAGAGAGAGAGAGAGGUAAUAUAGUAAUAGUGUUGCAGAGAGAGAGAGGUAAUAUAGUAAUAGUGUUGCAGAGAGAGAGAGGUAAUAUAGUAAUAGUGUUGCAGAGAGAGAGAGGUAAUAUAGUAAUAGUGUUGCAGAGAGAGAGGUAAUAUAGUAAUAGUGUUGCAGAGAGAGAGAGAGGUAAUAUAGUAAUAGUGUUGCAGAGAGAGAGAGAGGUAAUAUAGUAAUAGUAUUGCAGAGAGAGAGAGGUAAUAUAGUAAUAGUGUUGCAGAGAGAGAGAGAGGUAAUAUAGUAAUAGUGUUGCAGAGAGAGAGAGAGGUAAUAUAGUAAUAGUGUUGCAGAGAGAGAGAGGUAAUAUAUAGUAAUAGUGUUGCAGAGAGAGAGAGAGGUAAUAUAUAGUAAUAGUGUUGCAGAGAGAGAGAGGGGUAAUAUAUAGUAAUAGUGUUGCAGAGAGAGAGAGAGGUAAUAUAGUAAUAGUGUUGCAGAGAGAGAGAGAGAGGUAAUAUAGUAAUAGUGUUGCAGAGAGAGAGAGAGGUAAUAUAGUAAUAGUGUUGCAGAGAGAGAGAGGUAAUAUAGUAAUAGUGUUGCAGAGAGAGAGAGAGGUAAUAUAGUAAUAGUGUCGCAGAGAGAGAGAGAGAGAGAGGUAAUAUAGUAAUAGUGUCGCAGAGAGAGAGAGAGAGAGAGAGAGAGGUAAUAUAGUAAUAGUGUUGCAGAGAGAGACAGGUAAUAUAGUAAUAGUGCUGCAGAGAGAGAGAGGUAAUAUAGUAAUAGUGUUGCAGAGAGAGAGAGAGGUAAUAUAGUAAUAGUGUUGCAGAGAGAGAGAGGUAAUAUAGUAAUAGUGUUGCAGAGAGAGAGGUAAUAUAGUAAUAGUGUUGCAGAGAGAGAGAGAGGUAAUAUAGUAAUAGUGUUGCAGAGAGAGAGAGAGGUAAUAUAGUAAUAGUCUUGCAGAGAGAGAGAGAGGUAAUAUAGUAAUAGUGUUGCAGAGAGAGAGAGGUAAUAAAGUAAUAGUGUUGCAGAGAGAGAGAGGUAAUACAGUAAUAGUGUUGCAGAGAGAGAGAGAGGUAAUAUAGUAAUAGUGUUGCAGAGAGAGAGAGGUAAUAUAUAGUAAUAGUGUUGCAGAGAGAGAGAGAGGUAAUAUAGUAAUAGUGUUGCAGAGAGAGAGGUAAUAUAGUAAUAGUGUUGCAGAGAGAGAGAGAGAGAGGUAAUAUAGUAAUAGUGUUGCAGAGAGAGAGAGGUAAUAUAGUAAUAGUGUUGCAGAGAGAGAGAGGUAAUAUAGUAAUAGUGUUGCAGAGAGAGAGAGGUAAUAUAGUAAUAGUGUUGCAGAGAGAGAGGUAAUAUAGUAAUAGUAUUGCAGAGAGAGAGAGGUACUAUAGUAAUAGUGUUGCAGAGAGAGAGAGAGGUAAUAUAGUAAUAGUGUUGCAGAGAGAGAGAGAGGUAAUAUAGUAAUAGUGUCGCAGAGAGAGAGAGAGAGGUAAUAUAGUAAUAGUGUUGCAGAGAGAGAGGUAAUAUAGUAAUAGUGUUGCAGAGAGAGAGAGAGAGAGAGAGGUAAUAUAGUAAUAGUAUUGCAGAGAGAGAGAGGUAAUAUAGUAAUAGUGUUGCAGAGAGAGAGAGAGGUAAUAUAGUAAUAGUGUUGCAGAGAGAGAGAGAGGUAAUAUAGUAAUAGUGUUGCAGAGAGAGAGAGGUAAUAUAGUAAUAGUGUUGCAGAGAGAGAGAGGUAAUAUAGUAAUAGUGUUGCAGAGAGAGAGGUAAUAUAGUAAUAGUGUUGCAGAGAGAGAGAGGUAAUAUAGUAAUAGUGUUGCAGAGAGAGAGAGGUAAUAUAGUAAUAGUGUUGCAGAGAGAGAGAGGUAAUAUAGUAAUAGUGUUGCAGAGAGAGAGAGGUAAUAUAGUAAUAGUGUUGCAGAGAGAGAGGUAAUAUAGUAAUAGUGUUGCAGAGAGAGAGAGAGAGGUAAUAUAGUAAUAGUGUUGCAGAGAGAGAGGUAAUAUAGUAAUAGUGUUGCAGAGAGAGAGAGAGGUAAUAUAGUAAUAGUGUUGCAGAGAGAGAGAGAGGUAAUAUAGUAAUAGUGUUGCAGAGAGAGAGAGAGGUAAUAUAGUAAUAGUGUUGCAGAGAGAGAGAGAGAGGUAAUAUAGUAAUAGUGUUGCAGAGAGAGAGGUAAUAUAGUAAUAGUGUUGCAGAGAGAGAGAGAGGUAAUAUAGUAAUAGUGUUGCAGAGAGAGAGGUAAUAUAGUAAUAGUGUUGCAGAGAGAGAGAGAGGUAAUAUAGUAAUAGUGUUGCAGAGAGAGAGAGAGGUAAUAUAGUAAUAGUGUUGCAGAGAGAGAGAGAGGUAAUAUAGUAAUAGUGUUGCAGAGAGAGAGAGGUAAUAUAGUAAUAGUGUUGCAGAGAGAGAGAGAGGUAAUAUAGUAAUAGUGUUGCAGAGAGAGAGAGGUAAUAUAGUAAUAGUGUUGCAGAGAGAGAGAGAGAGAGGUAAUAUAGUAAUAGUGUUGCAGAGAGAGAGAGAGAGAGAGAGAGAGAGAGGUAAUAUAGUAAUAGUGUUGCAGAGAGAGAGAGGUAAUAUAGUAAUAGUGUUGCAGAGAGAGAGAGAGAGGUAAUAUAGUAAUAGUGUUGCAGAGAGAGAGAGAGGUAAUAUAGUAAUAGUGUUGCAGAGAGAGAGAGAGGUAAUAUAGUAAUAGUGUUGCAGAGAGAGAGGUAAUAUAGUAAUAGUGUUGCAGAGAGAGAGAGAGAGAGGUAAUAUAGUAAUAGUGUUGCAGAGAGAGAGAGAGAGAGAGGUAAUAUAGUAAUAGUGUUGCAGAGAGAGAGAGAGGUAAUAUAGUAAUAGUGUUGCAGAGAGAGAGAGAGGUAAUAUAGUAAUAGUGUUGCAGAGAGAGAGAGAGAGGUAAUAUAGUAAUAGUGUUGCAGAGAGAGAGAGAGGUAAUAUAGUAAUAGUGUUGCAGAGAGAGAGAGAGAGAGAGAGAGAGAGGUAAUAUAGUAAUAGUGUUGCAGAGAGAGAGAGGUAAUAUAGUAAUAGUGUUGCAGAGAGAGAGAGGUAAUAUAGUAAUAGUGUUGCAGAGAGAGAGAGGUAAUAUAGUAAUAGUGUUGCAGAGAGAGAGAUAAUAUAUAGUAAUAGUGUUGCAGAGAGAGAGAGAGGGGUAAUAUAUAGUAAUAGUGUUGCAGAGAGAGAGAGAGGUAAUAUAGUAAUAGUGUUGCAGAGAGAGAGAGAGAGGUAAUGUAGUAAUAGUGUCGCAGAGAGAGAGGUAAUAUAGUAAUAGUGUUGCAGAGAGAGAGAGAGAGAGGUAAUAUAGUAAUAGUGUUGCAGAGAGAGAGAGAGAGAGGUAAUAUAGUAAUAGUGUUGCAGAGAGAGAGGUAAUAUAGUAAUAGUGUCGCAGAGAGAGAGAGAGAGGUAAUAUAGUAAUAGUGUUGCAGAGAGAGACAGGUAAUAUAGUAAUAGUGCUGCAGAGAGAGAGAGGUAAUAUAGUAAUAGUGUUGCAGAGAGAGAGAGAGAGAGGUAAUAUAGUAAUAGUGUUGCAGAGAGAGAGGUAAUGUAGUAAUAGUGUCGCAGAGAGAGAGAGAGAGGUAAUAUAGUAAUAGUGUUGCAGAGAGAGAGAGAGGUAAUAUAGUAAUAGUGUUGCAGAGAGAGAGAGAGAGGUAAUAUAGUAAUAGUGCUGCAGAGAGAGAGAGGUAAUAUAGUAAUAGUGUUGCAGAGAGAGAGAGGUAAUAUAGUAAUAGUGUUGCAGAGAGAGAGGUAAUAUAGUAAUAGUGUUGCAGAGAGAGAGAGAGGUAAUAUAGUAAUAGUGUUGCAGAGAGAGAGAGGUAAUAUAGUAAUAGUGUUGCAGAGAGAGAGGUAAUAUAGUAAUAGUAUUGCAGAGAGAGAGAGGUAAUAUAGUAAUAGUGUUGCAGAGAGAGAGAGAGGUAAUAUAGUAAUAGUGUUGCAGAGAGAGAGAGAGGUAAUAUAGUAAUAGUGUUGCAGAGAGAGAGAGGUAAUAUAGUAAUAGUGUUGCAGAGAGAGAGAGAGGUAAUAUAGUAAUAGUGUUGCAGAGAGAGAGAGGUAAUAUAGUAAUAGUGUUGCAGAGAGAGAGAGAGAGAGGUAAUAUAGUAAUAGUGUUGCAGAGAGAGAGAGAGAGGUAAUGUAGUAAUAGUGUCGCAGAGAGAGAGGUAAUAUAGUAAUAGUGUUGCAGAGAGAGAGAGAGAGAGGUAAUAUAGUAAUAGUGUUGCAGAGAGAGAGAGAGGUAAUAUAGUAAUAGUGUUGCAGAGAGAGAGGUAAUAUAGUAAUAGUGUUGCAGAGAGAGAGAGAGAGGUAAUAUAGUAAUAGUGUUGCAGAGAGAGAGAGAGAGAGGUAAUAUAGUAAUAGUGUUGCAGAGAGAGAGAGAGGUAAUAUAGUAAUAGUGUUGCAGAGAGAGAGAUAGGUAAUAUAGUAAUAGUGUUGCAGAGAGAGAGAGGUAAUAUAGUAAUAGUGUUGCAGAGAGAGAGAGGUAAUAUAGUAAUAGUGUUGCAGAGAGAGAGAGGUAAUAUAGUAAUAGUGUUGCAGAGAGAGAGAGGUAAUAUAGUAAUAGUGUUGCAGAGAGAGAGACAGGUAAUAUAGUAAUAGUGUUGCAGAGAGAGAGAGAGGUAAUAUAGUAAUAGUCUUGCAGAGAGAGAGAGAGGUAAUAUAGUAAUAGUGUUGCAGAGAGAGAGGUAAUAUAGUAAUAGUGUUGCAGAGAGAGAGAGAGAGGUAAUAUAGUAAUAGUGUUGCAGAGAGAGAGAGACAGGUAAUAUAGUAAUAGUGUUGCAGAGAGAGAGAGAGGUAAUGUCGUAAUAGUGUUGCAGAGAGAGAGAUAGGUAAUAUAGUAAUAGUGUUGCAGAGAGAGAGAGGUAAUAUAGUAAUAGUGUUGCAGAGAGAGAGGUAAUAUAGUAAUAGUGUUGCAGAGAGAGAGACAGGUAAUAUAGUAAUAGUGUUGCAGAGAGAGAGAGAGGUAAUAUCGUAAUAGUGUUGCAGAGAGAGAGAGAGGUAAUAUAGUAAUAGUCUUGCAGAGAGAGAGAGAGGUAAUAUAGUAAUAGUGUUGCAGAGAGAGAGGUAAUAUAGUAAUAGUGUUGCAGAGAGAGAGAGAGGUAAUAUAGUAAUAGUCUUGCAGAGAGAGAGAGAGGUAAUAUAGUAAUAGUGUUGCAGAGAGAGAGGUAAUAUAGUAAUAGUAUUGCAGAGAGAGAGAGGUACUAUAGUAAUAGUGUUGCAGAGAGAGAGAGAGGUAAUAUAGUAAUAGUGUCGCAGAGAGAGAGAGAGGUAAUAUAGUAAUAGUGUUGCAGAGAGAGAGGUAAUAUAGUAAUAGUGUUGCAGAGAGAGAGAGAGAGAGAGGUAAUAUAGUAAUAGUGUUGCAGAGAGAGAGAGAGGUAAUGUAGUAAUAGUGUCGCAGAGAGAGAGAGAGGUAAUAUAGUAAUAGUGUCGCAGAGAGAGAGAGAGAGAGAGGUAAUAUAGUAAUAGUGUUGCAGAGAGAGAGGUAAUAUAGUAAUAGUGUUGCAGAGAGAGAGAGAGAGAGAGAGGUAAUAUAGUAAUAGUGUUGCAGAGAGAGAGAGAGAGAGAGGUAAUAUAGUAAUAGUGUUGCAGAGAGAGAGAGAGGUAAUAUAGUAAUAGUGUUGCAGAGAGAGAGAGAGGUAAUAUCGUAAUAGUGUUGCAGAGAGAGAGAGAGGUAAUAUAGUAAUAGUGUUGCAGAGAGAGAGAGGUAAUAUAGUAAUAGUGUUGCAGAGAGAGAGAGAGGUAAUAUAGUAAUAGUGUUGCAGAGAGAGAGAGGUAAUAUAGUAAUAGUGUUGCAGAGAGAGAGAGAGGUAAUAUAGUAAUAGUGUUGCAGAGAGAGAGAGAGGUAAUAUAUAGUAAUAGUGUUGCAGAGAGAGAGAGAGGUAAUAUAGUAAUAGUAUUGCAGAGAGAGAGAGGUAAUAUAUAGUAAUAGUGUUGCAGAGAGAGAGAGAGGUAAUAUAGUAAUAGUGUUGCAGAGAGAGAGAGGUAAUAUAUAGUAAUAGUGUUGCAGAGAGAGAGAGGUAAUAUAUAGUAAUAGUGUUGCAGAGAGAGAGAGGUAAUAUAGUAAUAGUGUUGCAGAGAGAGAGAGAGAGAGAGGUAAUAUAGUAAUAGUGUUGCAGAGAGAGAGAGAGAGGUAAUAUAUAGUAAUAGUGUUGCAGAGAGAGAGAGAGGUAAUAUAGUAAUAGUGUUGCAGAGAGAGAGAGAGAGAGAGGUAAUAUAGUAAUAGUGUUGCAGAGAGUGAGAGAG